This 493-nucleotide long non-coding RNA is filed under the name Populus tremula. RNAcentral describes it as "long non-coding RNA (PTRE_LNC000834)". Lineage: Eukaryota; Viridiplantae; Streptophyta; Magnoliopsida; Malpighiales; Salicaceae. The record is from RNAcentral.
GGUAAGCCAGUGAAAGAGCCAUCAAACUGUUGCCUUCGCGUUUUCUUGUGCUUAUUAAUGUAGUGAACCUCUUCAGUCAGCUGUCAUCUCUGUUUGAUUCUGUAUCCUAUUGGUCUCAUAUGGGACAGAUCGUGAAGAUCAAUGUUAAUGGCUUAUGGCAUCAUGCAAAACUGAAGGCAGUGCAGAUGCUGGUAUUGCUUUCCACAAUUAUAAAGGUGAUUAUGGCUGGUUUAGCAUCUCGCAGUCUUCUAUUAAUCCAUUAAUGCCAAGCAUACGUUGCCCAUGGUGGCCUUGGUCUGGAGAGGAUCAUGGCUUCACAGAGGUGGUUCUUCACUAAGAUGUUCAUCUGCAAAGUCAUGCCAGCCUCUCUUCAUGAACGUCUCUCUAGCCUGGGAAUGGUAAUCAGUAAACACUUUCUCUCUAAAUCAUCUGUCACCCACGGUAAUUUAGAUAAAUUGCAGUAAAGCUUGUGAAUAAAAAUAUAUAUAUAGGG